AAUAGCGGAGGAGAGGCGGAGGUAUCAUAGGCGGAGGAAGAUGCGGAGGAGACCCGUGGAUGAGGAUCCCUUCUUGGAGACUUGAUGGGUUCGCCCACCACUAGGACAAACAUAAACCUUUUGUAAUUGCAAUCAGCGUCAGUAACAAAUUAAUAAUUACAACUUUCAACAACGGAUCUCUUGGUUCUGGCAUCGAUGAAGAACGCAGCGAAAUGCGAUAAGUAGUGUGAAUUGCAGAAUUCAGUGAAUCAUCGAAUCUUUGAACGCACAUUGCGCCCUUUGGUAUUCCAAAGGGCAUGCCUGUUCGAGCGUCAUUUGUACCCUCAAGCUUUGCUUGGUGUUGGGCGUCUUGUCUCUAGCUUUGCUGGAGACUCGCCUUAAAGUAAUUGGCAGCCGGCCUACUGGUUUCGGAGCGCAGCACAAGUCGCACUCUCUAUCAGCAAAGGUCUAGCAUCCAUUAAGCCUUUUUUUCAACUUUUGACCUCGGAUCAGGUAGGGAUACCCGCUGAACUUAAGCAUAUCAAUAAGCGGAGGAAGA
Molecule: ribosomal RNA, 538 nt
Filed under: Alternaria sp. NsE+30
Lineage: Eukaryota; Fungi; Ascomycota; Dothideomycetes; Pleosporales; Pleosporaceae
Description: eukaryotic LSU rRNA
Rfam family: 5.8S ribosomal RNA (bases 161-314)
Source: RNAcentral